CCAUGAAAAUGAUCCCUGGUGCCAAAAAGGUUGGGGACUGCUGCUACUACUCAAAAGAAGAUGAAGAUGAUGGCAACAAGGGUGGGGGUCCUAACAGUCUGAUGGCUACAGAUGGCAGCCUGGAUCAUGGUACCGCUGGGUAUGUGGGUAGCCUGCCACAUUACCAAGGACAUGCUCCCAGGGCCCUAUCCUAAGACCCUAGAAGAAUGGGCCACCGCUGCCAAGAAGUAUAAUAUAUGUGUGGAAGACUAUGAGCCUUGCCUGCAUGAUGGCAUGGGGUAUGGCAACCGCCAGAAGAUCCCUGACAGGUCACAGCAGAAGGAUCCAUGGUGUGACUGGGACCACUCAGACCUGCGGUUGAACUGGGGUAAAACUGAUGCACUGUGACCUACACAUGUAUAUCAGGCAUAUCCCCCCCACCUGUGUCUUGGAAUAUCAUGUGUAAGCAGCUCUUCGGCUUUCUGGCCUUUGUGACGUUCAUGUUCUAGGUAGGAUACCUACCAGUCUGUGGGGCCAAAACAGUAUCCUUAUAAUAAUCUGUACGUGGAACCAGGCUCAGAUCCUACUAGAGAACCUGAGCUGGUGGUUCACUAUGAGAUCUGAGGAGGCUUCGUGGGCUUUUGUGCCCUCUAACUAGGACUCCCUCAUUCCUAGAAAUUUAACCUUAAUGGAAUCCCUACUAAAACUUAGUGCUGUG
Lemur catta (Ring-tailed lemur) is the source of this 697-nucleotide RNA transcript. It is a transcript of the gene named NADH dehydrogenase [ubiquinone] 1 beta subcomplex subunit 8, mitochondrial-like, with no coding region annotated. The transcript has a single exon. The record is from RefSeq and is a predicted model, not a curated record. Lineage: Eukaryota; Metazoa; Chordata; Mammalia; Primates; Lemuridae.